Molecule: long non-coding RNA, 372 nt
Filed under: Vigna radiata
Lineage: Eukaryota; Viridiplantae; Streptophyta; Magnoliopsida; Fabales; Fabaceae
Description: long non-coding RNA (VRAD_LNC016273)
Source: RNAcentral
UAAACUUUAUCAGUAGAUGCAUAAAUCCGCCAAUAGUUAUUGAUGACCACAAAUCUAUCGAUAAUUGUUUCUUUGUUAAUAUUUGUUAGUAAUUAUUGAAAAAUUCUAGUCUCCAAUAAUAUUAAUCGAUAAAAUACGUGAUUAGAUUUUCUUCUUCUUCUUCUUCCUCCUGCUCUUUUUCCUUUAGUUUUUCAUCUUCUUCUUCUCCACCUCGUUGCCAUUGGUAAGUGGAGUCACCAUCACUACCUCUAGGUUAUUCUCAUCCUCCUCCUCCUAUUUGACUUCCUUUUUCCUUUUAUGCUUCUUCCACCUCUUUAUUUAACUUCGACAAACACCAUCACCGGUCUCUUCCACCUUUGUGUCACUGUUUCU